This 301-nucleotide ribosomal RNA is filed under the name uncultured bacterium. RNAcentral's name for it is "partial 16S ribosomal RNA". It matches the Rfam family "Bacterial small subunit ribosomal RNA", at positions 509 to 808 of the family's 1533-position model. The record is from RNAcentral.
CAGCGCCACGGUAAUACAGAGGGUGCGAGCGUUAAUCGGAUUUACUGGGCGUAAAGCGUGCGUAGGCGGCUUCUUAAGUCGGAUGUGAAAUCCCUGAGCUUAACUUAGGAAUUGCAUUCGAUACUGGGAAGCUAGAGUAUGGGAGAGGAUGGUAGAAUUCCAGGUGUAGCGGUGAAAUGCGUAGAGAUCUGGAGGAAUACCGAUGGCGAAGGCAGCCAUCUGGCCUAAUACUGACGCUGAGGUACGAAAGCAUGGGGAGCAAACAGGAUUAGAUACCCCCGUAGUCCCUGUCUCUUAUACC